This 253-nucleotide ribosomal RNA is filed under the name uncultured bacterium. RNAcentral's name for it is "partial 16S ribosomal RNA". It matches the Rfam family "Bacterial small subunit ribosomal RNA", at positions 524 to 776 of the family's 1533-position model. The record is from RNAcentral.
UACAGGGGGGGCAAGCGUUGUUCGGAAUUACUGGGCGUAAAGGGCUCGUAGGCGGCCAACUAAGUCCGACGUGAAAUGCCAAAGCUUAACUUUGGAACUGCGUCGGAUACUGGAUGGCUUGAAUUCGGGAGAGGGAUGCAGAAUUCCAGGUGUAGCGGUGAAAUGCGUAGAUAUCUGGAGGAAUACCGGUGGCGAAGGCGGCAUCCUGGACCGACAUUGACGCUGAGGAGCGAAAGCUAGGGGAGCAAACGGG